Molecule: ribosomal RNA, 492 nt
Filed under: uncultured bacterium
Lineage: Bacteria
Description: partial 16S ribosomal RNA
Rfam family: Bacterial small subunit ribosomal RNA
Source: RNAcentral
AGUGAACGCUGGCGGUAGGCCUAACACAUGCAAGUCGAACGGCAGCACAGUAAGAGCUUGCUCUUACGGGUGGCGAGUGGCGGACGGGUGAGGAAUACAUCGGAAUCUACUUUUUCGUGGGGGAUAACGUAGGGAAACUUACGCUAAUACCGCAUACGACCUACGGGUGAAAGCAGGGGAUCUUCGGACCUUGCGCGAUUGAAUGAGCCGAUGUCGGAUUAGCUGGUUGGCGGGGUAAAGGCCCACCAAGGCGACGAUCCGUAGCUGGUCUGAGAGGAUGAUCAGCCACACUGGAACUGAGACACGGUCCAGACUCCUACGGGAGGCAGCAGUGGGGAAUAUUGGACAAUGGGCGCAAGCCUGAUCCAGCCAUACCGCGUGGGUGAAGAAGGCCUUCUGGUUGUAAAGCCCUUUUGUUGGGAAAGAAAAGCAGCAGGUUAACACCCCGCUGUUCUGACGGUACCCAAAGAAUAAGCACCGGCUAACUUCGUG